UUCAUUUACUUCAGACGGCC
This 20-nucleotide unclassified non-coding RNA is filed under the name Mus musculus (house mouse). Its description in RNAcentral is "oocyte_clustered_small_RNA5052". The record is from RNAcentral. Lineage: Eukaryota; Metazoa; Chordata; Mammalia; Rodentia; Muridae.